This is an RNA transcript of Grammomys surdaster, 1089 nucleotides long. It is a transcript of the gene named claudin-34-like, with no coding region annotated. The transcript has 2 exons. The record is from RefSeq and is a predicted model, not a curated record. NCBI's taxonomy places the organism in Eukaryota, Metazoa, Chordata, Mammalia, Rodentia, Muridae.
GCUCUGAGCUGAUGGUGAAGCCAGCAAGGAGCCUCUAAGGACUAGUGAGUGGACCAAUUUCUUUGUCGUCUCCACUGCCUCUCAUAACUGACUGCGAAGCAACAUCACCUACUGUCAGUUCACUUGAAGACUGUGUCUCUGUUCUCAAGUAUUCACUGUUAUCAUCAUGUCGAUGAAAAAUUGCCAUUGCCAAAUGGGAGGUUUUGCUUUGAGCACAGUGGCCUGGCUACUUUGCUGCAUAUCCAUAGGCCUCCCUCAGUGGCAAGUGUGGCACUAUGAAGAUCCUGUGAUCCUCAAGCCUACAGUGGCUUUUGUGGGUGUAUGGAGAGCCUGUGUUUUCCACACUGACAGCAACUCCAGCAACAACAGAGUAUGUCACCAAUACAACUACCGAGACUCCUUCAUUCCUUUCUAUAUUCGAGUAAACCAGCACUUGCUGCUGGUUUCUAGCUUUCUGGGGCUCUUUGGGAAAAUCACCACCAUUAUUGCUCUUUCAAAUGUGGGUAUGGGAAGAGUACGGAGGAAUGCCACCAGAAAUCCAUUCAGCCUUCCAGGGAUUCUGAAUACCAUCGUUAGCAGCUUUCUUUACUUUGCUGUUUUGUUAAAUUACAUAGCCAUCUUACGCAAAUGGGGAGUUGCCUUCCCACCAUCUUUCCAUAUGCCUUCCCAUCCAGACACUCAGAAGAUGGGCAGCGCCAUGGCUUUGGCAAUUAUAGCUGCAGUUUUCUUUCUACUAAGUGGCAUAAUUUGCCUUUCUUCAAAUUUAUCCAUAGGCAAGAAGCCCCAUCCCAAAAUUUAAAAGUAAAUUGCUACCUUACAUAGCCUUGAAACGCCAGCAAAGAGAAUGAAUAUUCUUCAUGUGUCAACAUAAAUUUUCAAAGAACUUGAAAGAAUGCCAAUUGUGGCCUGUGACAAAAGAUAGUCCAGUUGACUUUCUCUUAUCUAUUUGGCUUCUUUUGUGUUGCCUUAAUUCAUUAUUUGGACUGUGGGCUUUUAUUAAAUAAAAUCUUAUUUUAUGGGUAGUAUUGAAUUUGUGUUUUACUUCCUGUCAACAAAUAUAAAUAAUCAAUAAAUCAAAUACAUAUUGAA